This 384-nucleotide ribosomal RNA is filed under the name Escherichia coli. Its description in RNAcentral is "bacterial SSU rRNA". It matches the Rfam family "Bacterial small subunit ribosomal RNA", at positions 1 to 381 of the family's 1533-position model. RNAcentral also lists the same sequence under 2 other names. The record is from RNAcentral. Lineage: Bacteria; Pseudomonadati; Pseudomonadota; Gammaproteobacteria; Enterobacterales; Enterobacteriaceae.
AAAUUGAAGAGUUUGAUCAUGGCUCAGAUUGAACGCUGGCGGCAGGCCUAACACAUGCAAGUCGAACGGUAACAGGAAGCAGCUUGCUGCUUCGCUGACGAGUGGCGGACGGGUGAGUAAUGUCUGGGAAACUGCCUGAUGGAGGGGGAUAACUACUGGAAACGGUAGCUAAUACCGCAUAAUGUCGCAAGACCAAAGAGGGGGACCUUCGGGCCUCUUGCCAUCGGAUGUGCCCAGAUGGGAUUAGCUUGUUGGUGGGGUAACGGCUCACCAAGGCGACGAUCCCUAGCUGGUCUGAGAGGAUGACCAGCCACACUGGAACUGAGACACGGUCCAGACUCCUACGGGAGGCAGCAGUGGGGAAUAUUGCACAAUGGGCGCAAG